This 253-nucleotide ribosomal RNA is filed under the name uncultured bacterium. RNAcentral describes it as "partial 16S ribosomal RNA". It matches the Rfam family "Bacterial small subunit ribosomal RNA", at positions 524 to 776 of the family's 1533-position model. The record is from RNAcentral.
UACGUAGGGUGCAAGCGUUGUCCGGAAUUAUUGGGCGUAAAGAGCUCGUAGGUGGUUUGUCGCGUUGUUCGUGAAAACCGGGGGCUUAACCCUCGGCGUGCGGGCGAUACGGGCAGACUUGAGUACUGCAGGGGAGACUGGAAUUCCUGGUGUAGCGGUGGAAUGCGCAGAUAUCAGGAAGAACACCCGUGGCGAAGGCGGUUCUCUGGGACGGUACUGACGCUGAGACGCGAAAGCGUGGGGAGCGAACAGG